Molecule: ribosomal RNA, 1431 nt
Filed under: uncultured bacterium
Lineage: Bacteria
Description: 16S ribosomal RNA
Rfam family: Bacterial small subunit ribosomal RNA
Source: RNAcentral
AACGAACGCUGGCGGCGUGGCUAAGACAUGCAAGUCGAACGAAUUGGGUAACUGAUUAGUGGCGAAAGGGUGAGUAAUGGAUAGGUAACGUACCCUGUGCACCCGGAUAGCGCCUCGAAAGGGGCGGUAAUACAGGAUAAUGUCAUCGUUGACAGACGAAUGACCAAAGAUUAUUUCGGCACUUGAGCGGCCUAUCUCCUAUCAGCUUGUUGGUGAGGUAAUGGCUCACCAAGGCAACGACGGGUAGCGGGGCUGAGAGGUCGGCCCGCCACAUCGGGACUGAGACACUGCCCGGACCUCCACGGAGGGCUGCAGUAACGAAUAUUGGGCAAUGGGCGAAAGCCUGACCCAGCGACGCCGCGUGCGGGAUGAAGUCUCUCGGGAUGUAAACCGCUGUCAGGGGUAAGAAAGUCCGCUUCGGCGGAUUGAUCUAACCCAAAGGAAGUCACGGCUAACUUCGUGCCAGCAGCCGCGGUAAGACGAAGGUGGCAAGCGUUGUUCGGAAUCACUGGGCUUAAAGAGCGCGUAGGCGGAACAGUAAGCGUCCUGUGAAAUCCCCCGGCUUAACCGGGGAACGGCUGGGCGAACUGCUGUUCUUGAGGCAAGCAGGGGUGCGUGGAACUCUUGGUGGAGCGGUGAAAUGCGUAGAUAUCAAGAGGAACGCCGGUGGAGAAAUCGGCGCACUGGGCUUGUUCUGACGCUGAGGCGCGAAAGCGUGGGGAGCGAACGGGAUUAGAUACCCCGGUAGUCCACGCCGUAAACGAUGCCUACUAGGUUGCGGGGGCUCUGAGUCCUCGCGGCCGAAGCAAAAGUGUUAAGUAGGCCGCCUGGGGAGUACGGUCGCAAGGCUAAAACUCAAAGGAAUUGACGGGGGCUCACACAAGCGGUGGAGCAUGUGGAUUAAUUCGAAGCAACGCGCAGAACCUUACCUGGGUUUGACAUGCUGGAGCCCGCCCGGAAACGGGUGGGUCCUUCGGGGAACUGGCACAGGUGCUGCAUGGCUGCCGUCAGCUCGUGUCGUGAGAUGUCGGGUUAAGUCCCUUAACGAGCGAAACCCUUGCCGUUAGUUGCCAGCGGGUCAUGCCGGGGACUCUAACGGGACUGCCGGUGUUAAACCGGAGGAAGGUGGGGAUGACGUCAAGUCCUCAUGGCCUUUAUGCCCAGGGCUUCACACGUGCUACAAUGGCGACUACAAAGCGACGCAAAACCGAGAGGCAGAGCAAAUCGCAAAAAAGUCGCCCCAGUUCGGAUUGCAGGCUGCAACUCGCCUGCAUGAAGUCGGAAUCGCUAGUAAUAGCGUAUCAGCAUGACGCGGUGAAUGUGUUCCUGAGCCUUGUACACACCGCCCGUCAAGUGAUGGGAGCCGGGAGUACUCGAAGUCAGGUUGCUAACCGCCUGGAAGCGCCUGCCGACGGUAAGCUCGGUGACUGG